RNAcentral lists this ribosomal RNA (253 nucleotides) under uncultured bacterium. RNAcentral's name for it is "partial 16S ribosomal RNA". It matches the Rfam family "Bacterial small subunit ribosomal RNA", at positions 524 to 776 of the family's 1533-position model. The record is from RNAcentral.
CACGUAGGGGGCAAGCGUUGUCCGGAUUUAUUGGGCGUAAAGAGCGUGUAGGCGGCCAGAUAGGUCUGGUGUGAAAACUCGAGGCUCAACCUCGAGAGGUCACUGGAAACCAUUUGGCUAGAGUCCGGAAGAGGCGAGUGGAAUUCCUGGUGUAGUAGUGAAAUACGUAGAUAUUAGGAGGAACACCAGUGGCGAAGGCGGCUAUCUGGGCCAUUAUUGACGCUAAGAUGCGAAAGCGUGGGGAGCAAACAGG